Molecule: ribosomal RNA, 329 nt
Filed under: uncultured eukaryote
Lineage: Eukaryota
Description: partial 18S ribosomal RNA
Rfam family: Eukaryotic small subunit ribosomal RNA
Source: RNAcentral
CCCUUAGAUGUUCUGGGCCGCACGCGCGCUACACUGAUGCAUUCAACGAGUCUAAAACCUGCUCUGAUAGGGGUGGGUAAUCUUUUGAAUGUGCAUCGUGAUUGGGAUAGAUGAUUGCAAUUUUUCAUCUUCAACGAGGAAUGUCUAGUAAACGCAAGUCAUCAGCUUGCAUUGAUUACGUCCCUGCCCUUUGUACACACCGCCCGUCGCUCCUACCGAUUGAAUGAUCCGAUGAAUAUCAUGGAUUGAGGAUUAUAGCAGGUUCGCCUGUCUUGAUCUUCGAGAAGUGAAGUAAAUCUUAUCAUUUAGAGGAAGGAGAAGUCGUAACA